UGCCAGCAGCCGCGGUAAUACGGAGGAUCCAAGCGUUAUCCGGAAUCAUUGGGUUUAAAGGGUCCGUAGGCGGUCUAACAAGUCAGAGGUGAAAUCCUACAGCUCAACUGUAGCAUUGCCUUUGAUACUGUUAGACUUGAGUUAUUGUGAAGUAGAUAGAAUAAGUAGUGUAGCGGUGAAAUGCAUAGAUAUUACUUAGAAUACCGAUUGCGAAGGCAGUCUACUACGUAUAUACUGACGCUGAGGGACGAAAGCGUGGGGAGCGAACAGGAUUAGAUA
Molecule: ribosomal RNA, 279 nt
Filed under: uncultured bacterium
Lineage: Bacteria
Description: partial 16S ribosomal RNA
Rfam family: Bacterial small subunit ribosomal RNA
Source: RNAcentral